This 422-nucleotide ribosomal RNA is filed under the name uncultured bacterium. RNAcentral describes it as "bacterial SSU rRNA". It matches the Rfam family "Bacterial small subunit ribosomal RNA", at positions 362 to 775 of the family's 1533-position model. The record is from RNAcentral.
UCUUCCGCAAUGGACGAAAGUCUGACGGAGCAACGCCGCGUGAGUGAUGAAGGUUUUCGGAUCGUAAAACUCUGUUGUUAGGGAAGAACAAGUACCGUUCGAAUAGUGCGGUACCUUGACGGUACCUAACCAGAAAGCCACGGCUAACUACGUGCCCGCAGCCGCGGUAAUACGUAGGUGGCAAGCGUUGUCCGGAAUUAUUGGGCGUAAAGCGCGCGCAGGCGGUUUCUUAAGUCUGAUGUGAAAGCCCCCGGCUCAACCGGGGAGGGUCAUUGGAAACUGGGGAACUUGAGUGCGGAAGAGGGGAGUGAAAUUCCACGUGUGACGGUGAAAUGCGUAGAGAUGUGGAGGAACACCAGUGGCGAAGGCGACUCUCUGGUCUGUAACUGACGCUGAGGCGCGAAGGCGUGGGGAGCGAACAG